RNAcentral lists this ribosomal RNA (627 nucleotides) under fungal endophyte. RNAcentral describes it as "eukaryotic LSU rRNA". The stretch from base 248 to 401 matches the Rfam family "5.8S ribosomal RNA". The record is from RNAcentral. Lineage: Eukaryota; Fungi.
UUCUUGGUCCAUUUUAAAAGAAGUAAAAGUCGUAACAAGGUCUCCGUAGGUGAACCUGCGGAGGGAUCAUUACACAAUAUGAAAGCGGGUUGGGACCUCACCUCGGUGAGGGCUCCAGCUUGUCUGAAUUAUUCACCCAUGUCUUUUGCGCACUUCUUGUUUCCUGGGCGGGUUCGCCCGCCACCAGGACCAAACCAUAAACCUUUUUGUAAUUGCAAUCAGCGUCAGUAAACAAUGUAAUUAUUACAACUUUCAACAACGGAUCUCUUGGUUCUGGCAUCGAUGAAGAACGCAGCGAAAUGCGAUACGUAGUGUGAAUUGCAGAAUUCAGUGAAUCAUCGAAUCUUUGAACGCACAUUGCGCCCUUUGGUAUUCCAAAGGGCAUGCCUGUUCGAGCGUCAUUUGUACCCUCAAGCUUUGCUUGGUGUUGGGCGUCUUUGUCUCUCACGAGACUCGCCUUAAAAUGAUUGGCAGCCGACCUACUGGUUUCGGAGCGCAGCACAAUUCUUGCACUUUGAAUCAGCCUUGGUUGAGCAUCCAUCAAGACCACAUUUUUUUCAACUUUUGACCUCGGAUCAGGUAGGGAUACCCGCUGAACUUAAGCAUACAAUUUAAGCGGAAGAAAAA